This 623-nucleotide ribosomal RNA is filed under the name Strongyloides stercoralis. Its description in RNAcentral is "bacterial SSU rRNA". It matches the Rfam family "Eukaryotic small subunit ribosomal RNA", at positions 530 to 1193 of the family's 1831-position model. Lineage: Eukaryota; Metazoa; Nematoda; Chromadorea; Rhabditida; Strongyloididae. The record is from RNAcentral.
AACUUGUUGGUAAAGGAAAGGGCAAGUCUGGUGCCAGCACCCGCGAGUAAUACCAGCUUUUCCAAUGUGCAUAAAAUGCAUUGUUGAGGUUAAAAAGCUCGUAGUUGGCCUUAUGAAGAUUGUAUAAUGAGCAUCUUGGAUGUUAUUUAAUCAUUAUCAUCANAAUAUUUUUAUUAUAUUAGAAAUAAUAUCAUAACUGUUCCUUUGAAUAAAUCAGAGGGUAUAAACCAGACAUUAUACGUUUGUAUGGUAUAGCAUGGAAUAACACUAUAGAAAAAUUUAGUGUGGUGUCCCUUAAUUUUUCAUGAUUUAUAGGAACAAACGGGGGCAUUCGUAUCGCUACGUUAGAGGUGAAAAUMAUGGACCGUAGCGAGACGUCUUACUGCGAAAGCAUUUCCCAAGAAUGUUUUCAUUAAUCAAGAACGAAAGUUAGAGGUUMGAAGGCGAUCAGAUACCGCCCUAGUUCCAAGCCGUAAACUAUGCCUUCUMGAUGUAUGAAUUAUUAGUUAUAAUAAUUUAAGCAUCUUCUCGGAAAGCGAAAGUCCCUCGGUUCCGGGGGAAGUAUGGUUGCAAACGCAGAACACUUAAAGGAAUUGACGGAAGGGCACCACCAGGAGUGGAGC